Molecule: long non-coding RNA, 4781 nt
Organism: Mytilus californianus (California mussel)
Lineage: Eukaryota; Metazoa; Mollusca; Bivalvia; Mytilida; Mytilidae
Exons: 2
Source: RefSeq, a predicted model, not a curated record
CCGAAGACACAUUGGUUUUCGCACUCUAACUUUAGUUUAAGUGAAUGGAUCUUUUUGAAAUUUGACCAUAAGGUUAAAAACCACAAAAGGAAGGUUGGGAUUGAUUUUGGGGGUUAUGGUACCAACAGUUAAGGAAUUAGGGGCCAAAAAGGGGCCAAAAAUAAGCAUUUUCUAGUUUCCAGACAAUAACUGUGGAACGGUGUAUGGAUCUCUCUGAAAUUAUACUACAAGUUUCCAUACCACAAAGGGAUGGUUAGGAUUUGCUUUGGGGGGUUAUGGCUCAAACCGUUUAGGAAUUAGGGGCAAAAAAGGGGGAAAAACAAGGUUGUCCUGGUUAAUGGACAAAUACUUUAGUACAAAACAUAAUUUAAAGCAGUGUAAGGGAGAUAAAUCAAAUACAUCAUUGAAAUUAUCUCCCUUACACUGCUUUUAAAUUAUGUAUAAAGUAAUGGUUAAUGAACAAUAAAGAUAAUUUAAAACAGUGUAAGGGAGGUAAUCCAAAUACAACGUUUUGGUUACUUCCCUUACACUGCUUUUAAAUUAUGUUUAAAGAAAUGCAUAUAUAUAAAGGAAGACCAGAAAAAAAUAUCUGCAAAUGUUGUAUCUUUUUUUUUUACAAAAAAAUCCAUAUGAAAGAUUUGACACUAUAUUUUUAAUUCUAUUAUAAAAUAGAUUAAGUUAGCACUAUGGUAAAUUUAAAUGGGUAAUUAUGGUUGCCAACUCCAUUGGAAAUUUGAAUUGAGAUUAUGACCAUAUCUUGAGGGAAAGAAUUUUGUUGGGGAAAAAAGGUGGGGAUAAAAAGAAAUUGUGGGGGGUCAAUUUUUUCUCAUUUCAGAUUUCAGAAAUUAAAAAAAUUAUUCUUCAAAUAUUUGAAAAAUUUCAAGAAGAAAUCUUUAAUUUCACAGUAUGGCGCAUUAGAUUUGUAAAAUCUUUGAUCACGUUUAUUUAUUUGUUAUGCCGAAUCCAACAGUGUAUUUAGAUUUUUAAUUUUGGGUCCAGUUUUCAAAUUGGUCUACAUUAAGGUCCAAAGGGUCCAAAAUUAAACUUUGUUUGAUUUUAGCAAAAAUUGAAUAUAUGACAUUCUUUGAUAUGCUGAAUCUAAACAUGUAUUUAGAUUUUUGAUUUUUGGCCCAGUUUUCAAGUUGGUCCAAAUUGGGGUCCAAAAUUAAACUUUGUUUGAUUUCAACAAAAAUUGAAUAUAUGGGGUUCUUUGAUAUGCUGAAUCUAACCAUGUAUUUAGAUUUUUUAUUUGUGGACCCCGUUAUCAAAUUGGUUCAUAUUGAGGUCAAAAGGGUCCAAAAUUAAACUUUGUUUGAUUUCAUCUAAAAUUGAAUUAUUGGGGUUCUUUGAUAUUCCAAAUCUAACCGUGUAUUUAGAUUUUUAAUUUUGGGUCCUGUUUUUAAAUUGGUCUACAUUAAGGUCCAAAGGGUCCAAAAUUAAACUUAGUUAAAUUUUAACAAAAAUUGAAUUCUUGGGGUUCUUUGAUAUGCUGAAUCUAAACAUGUGUUUAGAUUUUUGAUUAUGGGCCCAGUUUUCAAGUUUGUCCAAGAUAGGGUCCAGUAUUUAAACUAUGUUUGAUUUCAACAAAAAUUGAAUAUAUGGGGUUCUUUGAUAUGCUGAAUCUAAACAUGUAUUUAGAUUUUUGAUUAUGGGCCCAGUUUUCAAGUUGGUCCAAAUUGGGGUCCAAAAUUAAACUUUGUUUGAUUUCAACAAAAAUUGAAUAUAUGAGGUUCUUUGAUAUGCUGAAUCUAACCAUGUAUUUAGAUUUUUUAUUUGUAUGCCCCGCUAUCAAAUUGGUUCAUAUUGAGGUCAAAAGGGUCCAAAAUUAAACUUUGUUUGAUUUCAUCAAAAAUUGAAUUAUUGGGGUUCUUUGAUAUGCCAAAUCUAACCGUGUUUUUAGAUUUUUAAUUUGGGUCCCGUUUUUUAAAUUGGUCUUCAUUAAGGUCCAAAGGGUCCAAAAUUAAACUUAGUUUGAUUUUAACAAAAAUUGAAUUGUUGGGGUUCUUUGAUAUGCUGAAUCUAAACAUGUGUUUAGAUUUUUGAUUAUGGGCCCAGUUUUCAAGUUGGUCCAAGUUGGGGUCCAAAAUUAAACUUUUUUUGAUUUCAACAAAAAUUGAAUAUAUGGGGUUCUUUGAUAUGCUGAAUCUAACCAUGAAUUUAGAUUUUUUAUUUGUGGGCCCCGCUAUCAAAUUGGUUCAUAUUGAGGUCAAAAGGGUCCAAAAUUAAACUUUGUUUGAUUUCAUUUAAAUUGAAUUAUUGGGGUUCUUUGAUAUUCCAAAUCUAACCGUGUAUUUAGAUUUUUAAUUUUGGGUCCUGUUUUUUAAAUUGGUCUACAUUAAGGUCCAAAGGGUCCAAAAUUAAACUUAGUUUGAUUUUAACAAAAAUUGUGAAUUCUUGGGGUUAUUUGAUAUGCUGAAUCUAAACAUGUGUUUAGAUUUUUGAUUAUGGGCCCAGUUUUCAAGUUGGUCCAAGAUAGGGUCCAGUAUUUAAACUUUGUUUGAUUUCAACAGAAAUUGAAUAUGUGGGGUUCUUUGAUAUGCUGAAUCUAAACAUGUAUUUAGAUUUUUGAUUAUGGGCCCAGUUUUCAAGUUGGUCCAAAUUGGGGUCCAAAAUUAAACUUUGUUUGAUUUCAACAAAAAUUGAAUAUAUGAGGUUCUUUGAUAUGCUGAAUCUAACCAUGUAUUUAGAUUUUUUAUUUGUAUGCCCCGCUAUCAAAUUGGUUCAUAUUGAGGUCAAAAGGGUCCAAAAUUAAACUUUGUUUGAUUUCAUCAAAAAUUGAAUUAUUGGGGUUCUUUGAUAUGCCAAAUCUAACCGUGUAUUUAGAUUUUUAAUUUUAAGUCCCGUUUUUUAAAUUGGUCUACAUUAAGGUCCAAAGGGUCCAAAAUUAAACUUAGUUUGAUUUUAGCAAAAAUUGAAUUCUUGGGGUUAUUUGAUAUGCUGAAUCUAAACAUGUGUUUAGAUUUUUAAUUAUGGGCCCAGUUUUCAAGUUUGUCCAAGUUGGGGUCCAAAAUUAAACUUUGUUUGAUUUUAACAAAAAUUGAAUGUAUGGGGUUCUUUGAUAGGCUGAAUCUAACCAUGUAUUUUGAUUUUGGACAUUGGACCAUAAUAGGUAAAUUAAAAAAAAUCAAGUUCUUAGACCACAUUCUUUCUGUGUCAGAAACCUAUGCUGUGUCAAAUAUUUAAUAACAAUCCAAAUUCAGAGCUGUAUCAAGCUUGAAUGUUGUGUCCAUACUUGCCCCAACUGUUCAGGGUUCGACCUCUGCGGUCAUAUCAAGCUGCGCCCCAGCGAAGCAUUUUAUUGCUUAUUAUCUUGGAAAUUAUAAUAGAUAAGUACAUGAAUAUUGAAAUUAAAAUGGCAAUAUUUAACAUGUAAACUAUGCAACACAUUCAAAGUCAAUGAACCAUGGAUGAAGGUGAAGGACCAAAUAACCUCCAUGGAAAUAAGAAAUGUCAAUGCUUAUGAUGCAUUCUUGAAGGCUGUAGUGUGAACUAUAGGUGUUAGCUUCUAUUGCAUUUGGUCUUUGGUGGAGUGUUGUCUAAUUGGCAAUCAUACCACAUCUUAUUGUUAUACAAACUUUUAACAGCAAAUAUGAAGAUCUACAAAAAUGGCAGUAUGACCAAAACCAUUGAAUAACUUAAAGUAGGAGUUAUUGUCCUUAAAAGACAAUUAUUUUACUAAUUUUUGGGUUUUUGCCUAUAAUCUUGAAAAAGUAAUAGAUAAGUAAAACUGGAAACUGCAAAAAUUAACAGCAAGACAAGCAAGAUCUACAAGAAUGCCAAUAUGACUAAAACCAUUGCCUGACCCCUUUUUGGAAGGAAAUGCCCUUUAAAUGAAGUUUUUAUGCCCCCGCCGUAGAGGAGGGGGCAUUAAGUUUUACCUUUGUCCGUUUGUACGUCCAUCCUUCUGUACUUGCGUCCCAAAAUUGGUUUCUGUUCUCUAACUUUAGUUUGCCUCAUCAAAUUUUAUGAAACUUAUACACAAUGCUUAUUAACACAAAACACAGAUCAAGUUUGAAAUUUGGUGGCAUUAUUUUUACCGUUCUAGAGUUAUGCCCUUCAAAAUGGAAAAUUGCUGAAUUUUCAUUUCCAGUCUCUUUCUUUAGUUUGCCUCAACCAAAUGUUAUGAAACUUAUGCACAAUGCUUAUUACCACAAAACACAGAUCAAGGUUGAAUUUUGGUGGCGCCACUUUUACCAUUCUAGAGUUAUGCCCCUUUCCUAAUGGAAAAAUAUCUGUUUGUUCUCUAACUUUAGUUUGACUCAACCAAAUGUUAUGAAACUUAUAUACAAUGCUUAUUACUUCAAAACUCAGAUCAAGUACAAAUUUGGGUAACAGCCCUUUUACCAUUCUUGAGUUAUGUCCCUUUAUAAUGUUUUAUGCAAGCGGGGGCAUCAUCUGUGUGCCAUGGAAACAUUCCCCAUUUAUUUUCUCAUACUUUUGAGUUUUUGCCUAUUAUCUCUAAAUAAAACUAUGGAGGAACUGAAAACAGGGAAAGUGACCAUCAAUACACCAAUACUAGAUCUAUAAAAAUGCCAAUAUGACCAAAUCCAUUGCAUGACAUUGGAUGAGUUCUUUGCAAAAUAUGAAGUUUUGAAUUCUUACACAUGCAGGGAUAUAUACAUUCUGUAGCUUAAAAUAUAUGUGAAAUAAUGACCAAGGUAUUUAGAGACUGUUUACUGUUUGAUUGGCUGUAAUUGCAUUUUAAAAUGUAACAUAAGAUAUUUUGUAUUUUUGUUCAUACAAUUUUUCCAAAAUAAAGGAGAUUUUUAGUUGUUUUAAAA